AACGAACGCUGGCGGCAUGCCUAACACAUGCAAGUCGAACGAGACCUUCGGGUCUAGUGGCGCACGGGUGCGUAACGCGUGGGAAUCUGCCCUUGGGUUCGGAAUAACAGUUAGAAAUGACUGCUAAUACCGGAUAAUGUCUUCGGACCAAAGAUUUAUCGCCCAGGGAUGAGCCCGCGUAGGAUUAGCUAGUUGGUGAGGUAAAGGCUCACCAAGGCGACGAUCCUUAGCUGGUCUGAGAGGAUGAUCAGCCACACUGGGACUGAGACACGGCCCAGACUCCUACGGGAGGCAGCAGUGGGGAAUAUUGGACAAUGGCGAAAGCCUGAUCCAGCAAUGCCGCGUGAGUGAUGAGGCUUAGGGUUGUAAAGCUCUUUACCCGGGAUGAUAAUGACAG
Molecule: ribosomal RNA, 397 nt
Filed under: uncultured bacterium
Lineage: Bacteria
Description: bacterial SSU rRNA
Rfam family: Bacterial small subunit ribosomal RNA
Source: RNAcentral